This is a non-coding RNA of Pseudonaja textilis, 1893 nucleotides long. NCBI's taxonomy places the organism in Eukaryota, Metazoa, Chordata, Lepidosauria, Squamata, Elapidae. The record is from RefSeq and is a predicted model, not a curated record.
UCUCAGAGACUGCCUGGAUAAGUCCGUGGAGUUUCCUUGGAAAAGUUUUUCCUUCCUGGGGCUGAGAGAAAGUGACUGGCCCAACAUCACCAGCUGGCUUGGUGCCUAAGAUUCUGCUGGGCCCACCAGGUUCAGCAUGGCAUCAGUUACAGAUAAGUCGCUGUUAUCGACCGAAUUACAAGGAGAACAAGAGGAAGAGGAAUUCAAUCGCCUUUUACUUCAGGCAGCCCAGAAUAUCCAGGGCUCCGUUCCUUCUCCAGCAGAAUCCAAGCCUAUCCGCCCCCUUCCAGGAUUCUGCCUUAAAACCCACACAAGUUCUGGUGAGAAGAUUUUUGUCAAUGUCUGCAAAUCCCCGCACAUCCCUUCGCCGCCCGACCUAACCAAUGAAGAGCUGGCUUGCCUCAUUGAAUCAGAGAAUGCCUCUACCUUCCGGAUCCCCAUGAGUCUGGGGGAGCCCCAUGCAGAAGUAGACAAGAGUGGUAAUGGUUGCACGGCCUAUGAUGUCACCAUAAACACCAACUUUUUUAAUAAGAUGGAGAGCAACCAAUUUCUCAAAGAAUUCUUCCUUACCAUAGCCAUGGAAGGAUUGUCAGAGAAGUACAAGAUGGACAUCAGCAAUCAAGAUUGGCGGAUUCUGAAGAACAGGAAGUUUAUGGGCUCCAUAUCAGAACAGAAUAUCCGCACUAAAUCCAAGCCCAUCAUCCAGGAAAUACAGAGCAGCCCUGCUGUAACUCCUGAAUUCACCAUAGUCGCAGAGCCGUCAACCAGUCAUCCCAGUCAUCUAGUGUCAAAGAUCUCCCUCCCUAAAAUGAUCUCAGUGAGAAAUAUUGAGCUGGACCUUGGAGAAGACCGUAUUGUAUUACGGGGACAUCCUGAGCUCUAUCAUUUGGAUAUUUUCAUACCCUACAGCAUUGUCCCUGAGGAAAGCCGGGCUCAAUUCCACAAAGAAACAAAGAUCCUUACGAUCUUGAUGCCUGUCCAACGCCCAUUGCUGUUGCUGUGAGCUCUGAACAGACGGUCUAGAGGACUGAUCACAGUGUAGGCCGGGGAUGUACAUUACGGAGAUAUGUCCCAGCCAGACACCCCACAAUCAUUUCCAUCUGCUUCGUUUAUAUCUGGAUUCAGGGAAAAUAUUCUAACAAGCCAUCUGCACUGAUGUAUUCCAGUCCCUUAUCUCAAAUGAUACUCCACCACCAUAUUUGGAAGUCCACUCAGCAGUCUUACGCUCUUGUUUUACCAAACUCUGAGAUGGAACUACUGCUAAAAUUGUAGGCUUGCCUUCAUCAGUCUGAUAUUGUCUAGAUGUAUUAGCAUUAAAAUUUAUCAAUUUCCCCAAUUGGCUGAGAAUCCUGGUCCUCUUUCUUAUUCUAAACUGAAACUUUCUCCAUUUAAAGUAGUGUUUCUCAACUUUAGCAACUUGAAAAUGUGUCGACUUCAACUCCCAGAAUUCCCAACCAGCAUGAGUCAUGAAAUCAGAAAUCAGCAUGGUUGGCUAGGGAAUUUUGGGAGUUGAAGUCCACAUAUCUUAAAGUUGCUGAGGUUGGGAAAAACUGAUCUCAUUUAUAAUUGAGGAUUUAAUUGUGACAAAGAUACCAACUUCAUUCUCCUGUAACACUUCCUUCUUUAGCUGCCGCUGUCCCUUGUCCUUGCAAGAAUGAAGGUGUACGUUUUCUCCUCCACCCCCAUGUGAAUAUCUUCGCAGAUGUGAUAUUUUCAGAAUUGACUUUAUAUGUUGCUGCCAAAAUACUUUGCCACACCUCACAGGUGCAAUAAUUUCUGAACUAAUUGUGAAAUGUGCAUGAUUGAAGCCUUUUUACAAGGUAGCACUUUUCUGACACAUUGACCAAAAGAAGAAGAAAGAUUAUAGUCCUGGUUUUCAACAAAAUCUGAAAG